RNAcentral lists this ribosomal RNA (563 nucleotides) under uncultured bacterium. RNAcentral describes it as "bacterial SSU rRNA". It matches the Rfam family "Bacterial small subunit ribosomal RNA", at positions 147 to 710 of the family's 1533-position model. The record is from RNAcentral.
CUCCUGGAAACGGGUGGUAAUGCCGGAUGUUCCACAUGAGCGCAUGCGAGUGUGGGAAAGGCUUUUUGCGGCAUGGGAUGGGGUCGCGUCCUAUCAGCUUGUUGGUGGGGUAACGGCCUACCAAGGCGUUGACGGGUAGCCGGCCUGAGAGGGCGACCGGCCACAUUGGGACUGAGAUACGGCCCAGACUCCUACGGGAGGCAGCAGUGGGGAAUAUUGCACAAUGGGCGCAAGCCUGAUGCAGCGACGCCGCGUGCGGGAUGGAGGCCUUCGGGUUGUAAACCGCUUUUGUUCAAGGGCAAGGCACGGUCUUCGGCCGUGUUGAGUGGAUUGUUCGAAUAAGCACCGGCUAACUACGUGCCAGCAGCCGCGGUAAUACGUAGGGUGCAAGCGUUAUCCGGAUUUAUUGGGCGUAAAGGGCUCGUAGGCGGUUCGUCGCGUCCGGUGUGAAAGUCCAUCGCUUAACGGUGGAUCCGCGCCGGGUACGGGCGGGCUUGAGUGCGGUAGGGGAGACUGGAAUUCCCGGUGUAACGGUGGAAUGUGUAGAUAUCGGGAAGAACACC